GCUUAUGAUGGCAACUAAGGCUUUGUUUU
This 29-nucleotide small RNA is filed under the name Bombyx mori (domestic silkworm). Its description in RNAcentral is "ovarian small RNA-5412". The record is from RNAcentral. Lineage: Eukaryota; Metazoa; Arthropoda; Insecta; Lepidoptera; Bombycidae.